This 499-nucleotide ribosomal RNA is filed under the name uncultured bacterium. Its description in RNAcentral is "bacterial SSU rRNA". It matches the Rfam family "Bacterial small subunit ribosomal RNA", at positions 28 to 518 of the family's 1533-position model. The record is from RNAcentral.
GAUGAACGCUAGCGGCAGGCUUAAUACAUGCAAGUCGUGGGGCAGCAGGUUUGUAGCAAUACAGAUGCUGGCGACCGGCAAACGGGUGCGGAACACGUACAGAACCUUCCUUUGAGCGGGGAAUAGCCCAGAGAAAUUUGGAUUAAUACCCCAUAGUAUAAUGAAGUGGCAUCACUUUAUUAUUAAAGAUUUAUCACUCGAAGAUGGCUGUGCGGCUGAUUAGGUAGUUGGCGGGUAAAGGCCCACCAAGCCUGCGAUCAGUAACUGGUGUGAGAGCACGACCAGUCACACGGGCACUGAGACACGGGCCCGACUCCUACGGGAGCAGCAGUAAGGAAUAUUGGUCAAUGGAGGCAACUCUGAACCAGCCAUGCCGCGUGGAGGAUGAAGGUCCUCUGGAUUGUAAACUUCUUUUAUAUGGGACGUAAAAAAAGGCUUUUCUAAGUCGUCUGACGGUACCAUAUGAAUAAGCACCGGCUAACUCCGUGCCAGCAGCCGC